Molecule: ribosomal RNA, 253 nt
Filed under: uncultured bacterium
Lineage: Bacteria
Description: partial 16S ribosomal RNA
Rfam family: Bacterial small subunit ribosomal RNA
Source: RNAcentral
UACGUAGGUGACAAGCGUUGUCCGGAUUUACUGGGCGUAAAGAGCGCGCAGGCGGUCGUUCAAGUCGAGUGUGAAAGCCCCCGGCUCAACUGGGGAGGGUCACUCGAUACUGAUCGACUCGAAGGCAGGAGAGGGAAGUGGAAUUCCCGGUGUAGUGGUGAAAUGCGUAGAUAUCGGGAGGAACACCAAUGGCGAAGGCGGGUCUCUGGGUAGUAACUGACGCUGAGGAACGAAAGCGUGGGUAGCGAACAGG